AGAAUCAACGCUGGCGGCGUGCCUAACACAUGCAAGUCGAUCGAGAAAGUGGAGCAAUCCAUGAGUAAAGAGGCGCACGGGUGAGUAACACGUGACUAACCUACCUUCGAGUGGGGAAUAACCUGGGGAAACCCGGGCUAAUACCGCAUAAUACCUACGGGUCAAAGGAGCAAUUCGCUUGAAGAGGGGGUCGCGGCAGAUUAGUUAGUUGGCGGGGUAAUGGCCCACCAAGACGAUGAUCUGUAUCCGGCCUGAGAGAGCGCACGGACACACUGGAACUGAAACACGGUCCAGACUCCUACGGGAGGCAGCAGUGGGGAAUUUUGCGCAAUGGGGGAAACCCUGACGCAGCAACGCCGCGUGGAGGAUGAAGUCCCUUGGGACGUAAACUCCUUUCGACCGGGACGAUUAUGACGGUACCGGAUGAAGAAGCCCCGGCUAACUCGUGCCAGCAGCCGC
This 459-nucleotide ribosomal RNA is filed under the name uncultured bacterium. RNAcentral's name for it is "SSU rRNA". It matches the Rfam family "Bacterial small subunit ribosomal RNA", at positions 26 to 518 of the family's 1533-position model. The record is from RNAcentral.